This is a long non-coding RNA of Solea solea (common sole), 710 nucleotides long. RefSeq lists it as uncharacterized. The transcript has 2 exons. The record is from RefSeq and is a predicted model, not a curated record. NCBI's taxonomy places the organism in Eukaryota, Metazoa, Chordata, Actinopteri, Pleuronectiformes, Soleidae.
UGGAGCUGCUCCUGCGCAAAGACACACUGAUUUAAAAAGCCUUUGUGUACUCCGUGACUUGGUACAUUCCACUCCUCCCCUCUGUGUCGAGCUAUGUGGAAUGUUCCACUUCCCUUGUCGGAGCUUCUUCCAAGCCGAGACAGAAACAGGAAGAGGACGAGGAGCAGCGGGAAUAAACACAUGGUAACUGCUGCUUAAAUGUGAGCCCCACAUGUCUUAGAUUCUCUGUUGACGCUCUGUUCAAACCUGCUGUUAACAUCAGACCUGAGCGAUCCGAUCACACGUGUUCAGAUUACACCUGCUACUGCUGCUAAUGUGACGUCACUGCUCCUCAGCAAACACACGAUCACCGUGUAACCAUCAGGUGCAGGAGGACCUGGCUGACCUGGAGGAGGACGAGGACGAGGACGAGGAGCAGCACGGACAAAUGUGUGGUAACUGAUUCUUAAAAAUGAUCCACACAUUUAUUAGAUGUUCUGUUGAUGCUCUGUUCACACCUGCUGUUAACAUCUGAUCCGAGUCAUCCGAUCAUAGUUGUUCAGAUUACACCUGCUACUGCUAUUGCUAAUAUCAUGUCAAAUGAUGAUUCUCAAAUGUCUUUUUUUAUCCACCAACCAAAAAUUAUUCAGUUUUAAUUCCUUCUUUGUUACAAGGAACAAUGAAACCGGAAAAUGUUCAACAUUUAUAAUAAAAAACAAACAAUUAAUCCA